UCAAAAUAAAAUCUCAGAAGGUGGAUGACUUGGCUCAUAACGCCGAUGAAGGACGUGGCUAACAGCGAAAUGCCCUGGCGAGCCGUAUGCAGGCGCUGAACCAGGGAUCUCCGAAUAGGACUUCCUAUUAAAAGCUCGAAAGAGCAGGGAACACCGGGAAUUGAAACGUCUUAGUACCGGUAGGAAAAGAAAUCAAUUGAGAUGGGGUUAGUAAGAGCGACCGAACACCUCAUAGGGCAAACCGAAGCUGGUGUUGAAAGACAUUAGCGAUGUGGAGUGACGGCACAAACUCUCUUUAAUGAGAACUUCCUCGCUUGGUAAUGCAAAGUCGCCUGGAAAGGCGUGCGAAAAAGGGUGAUAGCCCCGUAGCAGCACCUGGGCAGGUAGUGAUUGUGUUCGCGAGUACUGUUCCCCGGAUAUGGAGCAGGAACAUGGGAGGCAUCAACUUCCAACCCUAAACACGUUAUGAGUCCGAUAGCAAAUAGUACCGUGAGGGAACGUUGAAAAGUACCCUUAGCAGGGAGUUAAAAGGCCUGAAACCUUCUGAGUUCAGAAAGGUAGUGCACUUUGGUGUUCUACCGUGCGUUUCGAAUAACGUGCCAGGGAGUGUUUUCGAGUGGCAAGACUAAUUCAUACACUGAAGGAGUCAAAGCGAAAGCAAUAAGCUCGCAACCCGCAAGGGCGAGGAGCAUGGUGUGAAAGCGCCAGAAGUCACUCGAUGACGACCCGAAACCGGUCGAUCUAAUCCCGGGCAAGAUGAAGCGCGGGUAAAACCGCGUGGAGGUCUGAAGAGGUGCUGUGUGCACGCGUUCUUCUGACCUAGGAUUAGGGGUGAAAAGCCAAUCGAGACCGGUGAUAGCUGGUUCCUGCCGAAGUAGGCCGUAGUCUAGCCUCGAACGAGACUGCUUGAGUUGUAGAGCGACGAAUCGCGGGUUAAGGGCCCGAAAGGGCUCGGCUUGCUGUUCAACUCCGAAUGCUUAAGCGUUGUAGACUUCGAGAGACGGGGCGUCUGGCGUAAGGUUGGCGUCCGAAAGGGGAACAACCCUGACUUUGGUUAAGGUCCCUAACAGCUGAUUAAGUGUGAAAGGGUGAAGGAAGUCUUUGUCUUGAGACAGCGGGGAGGUUGGCUCAGAAGCAGCCAUCCUUUAAAAAGUGCGUAACAGCUUACCCGUUGAGGACAGAGGUUCCCAAAAUGGACGGGACUAAAUCAGCGACCGAUACCAAAGACUUCCCAUAAGGAAGUGGUAGGCAGGCGCCUGGCGUGGGCAGAACUCAACCUGAGAGGGAAGAGGGACCACGUCGGAAUGAAAAUCCUGGCGGUAGUAGGCUCGUAGUAGUGUGAGAAUCACUACCAUCGAAAGGGCAAGGGUUCCUUGCCAAUGUCGAUCAGGCAAGGGUUAGUCGGCCCUAACUGAACUCCUAAUAGGAGUCUGUGAGGAAUGGAAAACUGGUUAAUAUUCCAGUACCGCACAAGUAUGUGAGGGAAACCUCGUACUGCAAAUUAACGCUUUUGGCUACAAAGACACGUGCCGUCGCGCGUGCAAAAUGUGACACAUUACAGGAGUAUCGUUAUGAUGAGAAUGUGAUGAAACACAACAGGCCUAGUUUACUAGGUUCUUUGGAUGCCUGGAGCCCGUGAAAAACAUUUGCAGAAAAAUCUUGUGCGACCGUACCGAGAUCCGGCACUGGUGCCCUAGGUGAGAAGCCUGAGAUGUGAAGGAGCUUAUCUGGUUGAGGGAACUCGGCAAUUUAGCCCCGUGCCUUAGGCAUAAGGGGUCCCUGCAUUCGUGCCGGUAUAGGUGGCGAGUGCAGGGGGCACUGACUAGGGGGUCCCGACUGUUUAACAAAAACACAACUGGCUGCUAAGUCGUAAGGCUUCGUACAGCCGGUGACGUCUGCCCAGUGACAGUAUCUGAAACCUCGGUUCAACGGGGCCAAGGACUGUUUAACGGCGGGAGUAACUAUAACUCUCUUAAGGUAGCGUAAUGCCUUGUCGUUUGAAUGGCGACGUGCAUGAAGGGCGCAAUGAGGUCCCCACUGUCCCUAGCUGCAAACCUCCGAAUACACCCUUCUGGUGCAAAGGCCAGAGAUCUCCAGUGGGAAGUGAAGACCCCGUGAAACUUUACUGUAGCCUGUUGCUGUAACGCG
This 2148-nucleotide ribosomal RNA is filed under the name groundwater metagenome. RNAcentral's name for it is "bacterial LSU rRNA". It matches the Rfam family "Archaeal large subunit ribosomal RNA", at positions 1 to 2203 of the family's 2987-position model. The record is from RNAcentral.